CCCUUAGAUGUUCUGGGCCGCACGCGCGCUACACUGAUGCAUUCAACGAGUCUAAAACCUGGUCUGAUAGGGCUGGGUAAUCUUUUGAAUGUGCAUCGUGAUUGGGAUAGAUGAUUGCAAUUCUUCAUCUUCAACGAGGAAUGCCUAGUAAACGCAAGUCAUCAGCUUGCAUUGAUUACGUCCCUGCCCUUUGUAAACACCGCCCGUCGCUCCUACCGAUUGAAUGUUCCGAUGAAUACCAUGGACUGAGAGUAUGAAUGGGUUCGCCUAUUUCUGCUUCUCGGGAAGUGGAGUAAAUCUUAACAUUUAGAGGAAGGAGAAGUCGUAACA
This 330-nucleotide ribosomal RNA is filed under the name uncultured eukaryote. Its description in RNAcentral is "partial 18S ribosomal RNA". It matches the Rfam family "Eukaryotic small subunit ribosomal RNA", at positions 1470 to 1796 of the family's 1831-position model. The record is from RNAcentral.